Molecule: ribosomal RNA, 556 nt
Filed under: uncultured Pseudozyma
Lineage: Eukaryota; Fungi; Basidiomycota; Ustilaginomycetes; Ustilaginales; Ustilaginaceae
Description: eukaryotic LSU rRNA
Rfam family: Eukaryotic large subunit ribosomal RNA
Source: RNAcentral
GCUGGCGUCUUCGGCGUCCGCAUUGUAAUCUCAAGAAGUGUUUUCCGCUUCGUACCAAGCCUAAAUCCCCUGGAAAGGGGCAUCAUAGAGGGUGAUAAUCCCGUACAUGGCUUGGAGCGCCCGAGGCUUUGUGAUACGCUUUCUAAGAGUCGAGUUGUUUGGGAAUGCAGCUCAAAAUGGGUGGUAAAUGCCAUCUAAGGCUAAAUAUUGGGGAGAGACCGAUAGCGAACAAGUACAGUGAUGGAAAGAUGAAAAGAACUUUGAAAAGAGAGUUAAACAGUACGUGAAAUUGCCAAAAGGGAAGGGUAGGAGGUCAGAGAUGCGGCCUGGGAUUCAGCCUUGCUUUUGCUUGGUGUUUUUCCCAGAUUGCAGGCCAACGUCGGUUUUGGGCACUGGAGAAGGGUAGGAGGAACGUGGCACCCCUCGGGGUGUGUUAUAGCCUCCUACUGGAUACAGCGACCGAGACCGAGGACAGCAGCGUACUCGCAAGAGCGGGCCUUCGGGCACCUUUACGCUUAGGGCGUUGGCAUAAUGGCCCUCUACCACCCGUCUUGAA